CCUACGGGAGGCAGCAGUGAGGAAUAUUGGUCAAUGGCCGAAAGGCUGAACCAGCCAAGUAGCGUGAAGGACGACUGUCCUAUGCAUUGUAAACUUCUUUUGUAAAGGGAUAAAAUUAGGCACGAGUGCCUUAUUGCAUGUACUUUAUGAAUAAGGAUCGGCUAACUCCGUGCCAGCAGCCGCGGUAAUACGGAGGAUACGAGCGUUAUCCGGAUUUAUUGGGUUUAAAGGGAGCGUAGAUGGGUUGUUAAGUCAGUUGUGAAAGUCCGGGGCUCAACCGUGAAAGAGCAAUUGAUACUGGCAGUCUUGAGUACAGUUGAGGUAGGCGGAAUUCGUGGUGUAGCGGUGAAAUGCUUAGAUAUCACGAAGAACCCCGAUUGCGAAGGCAGCUUACUAAACUGUGACUGACAUUGAUGCUCGAAAGUGUGGGUAUCAAACAGGAUUAGAUACCCGAGUAGUC
Molecule: ribosomal RNA, 460 nt
Filed under: uncultured bacterium
Lineage: Bacteria
Description: partial 16S ribosomal RNA
Rfam family: Bacterial small subunit ribosomal RNA
Source: RNAcentral